Molecule: non-coding RNA, 21 nt
Organism: Caenorhabditis elegans
Lineage: Eukaryota; Metazoa; Nematoda; Chromadorea; Rhabditida; Rhabditidae
Source: Ensembl
CUAGGAACAUUUUAGUCAAAU